This is a long non-coding RNA of Puntigrus tetrazona (Sumatra barb), 397 nucleotides long. RefSeq lists it as uncharacterized. The transcript has 4 exons. NCBI's taxonomy places the organism in Eukaryota, Metazoa, Chordata, Actinopteri, Cypriniformes, Cyprinidae. The record is from RefSeq and is a predicted model, not a curated record.
UGUUUUCUGGUGGCCAUAUCUGAUGGAGCAAGAGUGCCUAAUUGCAAGUACUCUUCUAAUGUUUGUCCAUUGAACUACUCACCCGUGUGUGGAACCAAUGGAAUAACAUACGGCAAUGAAUGGCGUCAGAUGCUAACAUAUUAAUCCGGAAGCAAGGCCAAUGCUAAAUCAAACAUCUGCAGGCAUGGCACAGGAAUUGUAUCUUAAUUAAGCUUGAAAGACUUUCAAUAUGUCCCUCUCGUCAUUAUACAUCCCUGUCAUUAUACUGUACAGUGCUUUGAUGCAACCUGUGUUGUUAAAAGCGCUAUAUAAAUAAAAAAAAAAUGAAAAAUGAAUGAAAAUGAAUAUGUCUUGAAUGUGUAAUGGUAUAAUUCAUGAAUAAAUAUUGCAUACUUAA